AUACAGUUGAGAUAAGAUCUGACUAUCAGUAUCUUUUCUGGUUCACUAAUUUUUUCUUGUCUGGUUCACUAAGUUUACUUCGCCAUAAACCAAGAUGGUAGCUACCAAAAGAAAGGAGGUUCCAACAAACUAUGACAGGAAAAGUGAAGUGAAAGCUUUUGAUGACACAAAAGAAGGUGUUAAAGGUCUUGUUGACGCUGGAGUAACUGAAGUUCCUCGCAUUUUUCAUCAUCAACCAGAUGAGUACUCCAUCCAUGAUUCCAAUGAUCCAGAAGAAUCCCAAUUUAGCAUUCCAGUCAUUGAUCUUGAAGGCCUUUUGGAUUUAACUAAACAAAAGGAGAUUGUUGCAAAAGUUGGAGAGGCAUCAGAGACUUGGGGCUUUUUUUCAGAUAGUCAACCAUGGAAUACCUGUUGAUGUCUUGAGGAGGUAAAAAUGGGGUACGUCGGUUUUUGUAGCAGGACACUGAGGUGAAGAAGAAGCUUUAUAGUCGCGAUCAUUUCAAGAAUCCUGUGCUCUACAAUAGCAACUUUGAUCUAUAUAGUGCACCGGCGACUAAUUGGAGAGAUACUUUUAGUUGUUACAUGGCUCCAAUUCCUACUAAACCAGAAGACUUCCCAGAAGUAUGCAGAGACAUACUUGUCGAGUACUCAGAUCAAGUAAUGAAGGUGGGUAAGCUAUUGUUCAAGUUGUUGUCUGAAGCUCUUGGAUUGAAGCCAAGUCACUUGAAUGACAUAGAUUGUAGCGAGGGGCUUCUGCUAGCAGGCCAUUACUAUCCCUCUUGUCCACAGCCAGAACUGACUCUAGGCGCAACCAAACAUGCUGAUAAUGCCUUCCUUACUGUUCUUCUGCAAGACCAUAUUGGUGGUCUUCAAGUCCUUCACCAGAACAAGUGGUUUGAUGUACCUCCUGUGCCCGGUGCUCUUGUGGUUAAUGUUGGAGAUCUUCUGCAGCUUAUAUCCAAUGACAGAUUCAAGAGUGUUGAACACAGAGUACUGGCAAACCGUAGAGGUCCACGAGUAUCGGUUGCAAGCUUUUUCUGCACAGGAUUGCUGCCAUUAACAAAACUCUAUGGACCGAUCAAGGAGUUAUUAUCAGCAGACAAUCCUCGAAAGUACAGGGAGACAACUGUUAGGGACUAUUUUGCCUACUUCAAUCAAAAAGGCCUCGAUGGUACCUCUGCCUUGCCUCAUUUUGAGCUUUGAACUUGGAGACUACGAGGAGUAUUAAUGCAGUGAAAUGCAUGCUAUGUUUGGCCAAGAUUUCUUUUGUGUAGAAAAUGCAAAUAAAACUUUUAAGCACUAAGGUGAAGAUAUAUGUCC
This is an RNA transcript of Fragaria vesca subsp. vesca, 1320 nucleotides long. It is a transcript of the gene named 1-aminocyclopropane-1-carboxylate oxidase homolog 1-like, with no coding region annotated. The record is from RefSeq and is a predicted model, not a curated record. The transcript has 3 exons. NCBI's taxonomy places the organism in Eukaryota, Viridiplantae, Streptophyta, Magnoliopsida, Rosales, Rosaceae.